UAAAAAUCAAUGGAAAAAUAUCCGGGGGUGAGGAUUAAAAAAAAAAAAAGAAGAAGAAGUACGCAUUUGAUGAAGCUCAGAAAACAGAAGGGAUCAGUGUUGUGAGGACAUUUAGCAGACUAUCUUCUCCUACUUGGGAAUGUGGAGGCCAUAUGUGAGCAGUUAUGAGGACAUAGAUACUUAAUGUGGGUUUGAAGACUGUUUGUAAGCUUGGUCCUUCUAAGGGUUUCAUGUGACUGCAUCUGACCUUUCUACUGCAGUGGUUGCUAGCACGCCUCCUAGAGAGCAGCAUUGCCACAUUAGUUUAGAGAAGAGUAAUCAAGCUCUCAAAAUAUUCACUGGUCAUUGGUCCAUAAUUUGCAUGUGUCUGUAUAACUUGACCACACAUUUUCAAGUAAUGCAUUUUUCCUCUGAGGGGAAUUUCUUUAAUUUUUCUUCUAGGGAAUUUUCCUUCACUGGUAUUUCAAGUCUGCAGAAAAAGAAGAGAUGUAGCAGCUUUAGAAAUAUGUUUCGAGGGCUCCUGAGGGUCUUCUGUGAGCCUCCAGUAGAAGUCCUUGGUGUUGGUGAUGUUUGAUGGUGUGUGGGGUGGAGAGAAGAAAAUGAAAGCAACUUUGUUGGAACAGGACAAAGACAGCUGUGGGGCAGGCUUGCAGAGGCCUAGCAGGAAACCUAACCAUGCAGACACCCAGGAAUCAGACGACAGAUGCCAAGGCCCUGCACACUAACAAGGCACAUGUCCUGCCUGUUCUGCUUGUUGGAACAUUUGAAGAGGAACAUACGCCCUCCUCCCUCCCGGUGGUGGGUGCUGCAGUCAACCAGGAGUCCAGAGCUGCAGAUUCUGUACCCUCUCAUCUGCUGCUGUCCUCCUGGCUGGUGAGAUGGGAGAAACUCAGAAACGCACACAGAGAGAAAAACAAAAUAAUCAAAUGUGGGCAAAAUAGCAAUUAUUUUUUUCCUCUUGUGGGAUAUGAGAAAUGAGUGGUGGACAUUGAGGGAUAAAGUUGAAGGGCUUCAUGUUGGUGGGAAAUGCCUUUAUUUGGUUGCAAAAGCCUCCCCACGUGAGUCACUAUGGAAGGAAUGUAGCAGGAGGAGUUGUGACACAUUGUCAUGAAAAUUAAGAGCUAUCUCAGUCAUCAGGUCCUGCUGGAUUGAAGAACAAGACAAACGGAAGAUGCAGAAUAAUCCCAGAGAACCCGGAGGCUGGGGAGGAGCAUUACAUUGUAGGAGGGAGCCUGUCUUGUCAGCCACACCUCCAGACGUUGCGGAGCUGCUUAUUGAAAUGAGUGCGAGCACCCUCCCUGCAACUGAGGACCUGCUCAGUAAGGGCAGUGUUAGCGCAAAAACCCCAGCUCUGGCAGACCUUUAGCAAUAUGGCCGACAGUUGAAACUAUUUUCUGCUUUAUCCCAAAUCUGGACAUGUUUCAUUGCUGGUAGACCAACCCAAUAAGUAACUCUUCUGAGAUGGGCUUGGUUUGUUUGGAGAAUCUUGCACUUACAAAAUAUAUUUUAAAAUCAUUUGAAAUUUUAAAAUUUUCGACUUACAGAACAAAUAUAAGACAGAGAGUACCCGUAUACUUCCACCUAACUUUCCUAAUGUCAGCAUUUUACAGAACCAUAUUACAAUGUUCAAAAUAAACAUUGGACCAACCAACAACAGGAAAUCAA
Myotis brandtii (Brandt's bat) is the source of this 1665-nucleotide long non-coding RNA. RefSeq lists it as uncharacterized. The record is from RefSeq and is a predicted model, not a curated record. NCBI's taxonomy places the organism in Eukaryota, Metazoa, Chordata, Mammalia, Chiroptera, Vespertilionidae. The transcript is spliced from 2 exons.